GGAAUGGCUGAAGAUUAGCGUGCCACCUCAACCGUCUUUUGCAAAAUAAACCCCAUGCUUUUGAUUAAUUACGCGCCGGUCCUUGCUAUGUCCACCGUCCGAUCUUGAGAUAGGCUCGAUCUGGCCGUCCACGUUCCCCCUUUGGCGGCCCUUCCACACCCGUGGAAUCGUUGGAUCUCUAACGGACGGUGUGGAUUUCGCCAACCCGUCCAAACCCUAGCCGCCCGUCCUCUCCUCCCCCAUGCGCGCCGUCUCGCCCUUCUCCCCCCAUCGCGCCGCAUCCUCGCCCUCCUCCUUCCUCGCGUGCGUCGUCGCCGCCACAACUUCCUCCUCCUCCACUCCCUCAACCAUCUCGCUGUGCCGCCAUCGCUGCCUCCACUCCCUCAACAAGCCAUCUCGCCGUGACACCAUCGCUGCUCCCUCCCCGCCGGAUCUCCCAGUGAGGAGGCUAGGGCCGCCGGGUCCGAUGAUCCCAUUCUCCUUGUCAGCGGAUCCGGCGCCCUAGAGAGGAACGAGAGCCGCCGCCGCCGCCCUUUCUCCUCUUUCAUCCCUGCCACGCCACUGCCUCCCAAGCCCUCUCCGACCAUUUGAUUCAUCGGCCUUGGCCUCCCCCUCCAGUGGAUCCGGUCGCCGGCCGGACGGAGUCAGCAGGCCGCCGCCACACCCUCUUCUCCUCUCCCUCUCCAUGAGCACCUCGCUCAGUGCCAUGAGAAGGGAAGGGAGAGCGUAGGCUCGGCCACGACCGCGACGAAGGCAACCGCGGCUCGGCGACAAUGGUUGCCUGCCUGCCUGGUUGUAUUUUCAUAUUCAGACAGUUUUGGAAGCUGCAAGUACACAUGGCUUACCUCUUGAAUGUACAUCAAAAGAGUUUUUCAUAUGCUGCUGUACUGUGUUCCUCAUUUUCAGUGAUGUAUGCUAUAUGCUCGAAGCACAUUCAUUACAGGUCGCAAAAAGAAAUGGAUAUGGAUUGGGUCCAUCAUGGAAACAGACACAAAUUUCUUUUGAAGGUACAUUUCAAUUUAGUUUGUGCAUCAACUGGUUCAAUGGGAAUGUUUUCCUAGACAUGUCCUAACCAUUACGAUCCAAUGGUAAAGCAAUAUCAUGAGUCAAUCUUUUUAAUAUUCUGUCUUUCAGUUGGUUUGCUUUUACAUGUCUAUGCUCAGAGAGAGAUUAUUUCACUGUUUAGUUCACCGGUCUUUUUUACACAUGUUUUUUUCAUUAAUUGUGAAACCAUACUUUUAAAUCCUAAAAGUUGUGGAGCCGAUCUGUUUCGUCAAACUAUAGUGUAACCUGCUGCUGCUGUGCUCUACAAAGCUCAUUGUUUCCACAUUUUAUAUUAUGCCAGCUACUUACAAAAGGGCCAGAGAAGAAAAAAAUGGGACAUACCUGAAGAAGUAUGCCAUGUAGAACUAUAAGGCUUAUGUUAUUGCAUCCAUACUUUGGUUAAGUGAUCAUGCAUGCUUUCGCUCGUAAACUUUGCCAUGUGGUAGUAGCACUUUGUACUACCUCUGCUUCGAAAAUAGAUAGAACUUCUGGUAGAAAAAUUGGUUUCAUGUGUUUAGAACUGUGAUGCCAGGCUGAAAAUAUUAUCUCUCUAUAUAUAAAUGGUUGAUACUAUACUAUUUUAGCUGUACUAACGUUAUUAAAACUUUCUAUUACCUUUGUCCCAAAAUGUAAUAACUUCUGGCCCUAUAUCUUGAAAGGAAUGUUUAGGUAUACAGCUCAAAAUUGCAAUAUAUUUUAGGACAUAGGUAGUAUACUUUUUUUCAGGUGUACUGAUGUCACUAAUCGCACAUAACGGAGGAUUGUUGUUGACUAGGGCAUCGGCAUGCUACACUUGAGAAAAGGUCAUUUUCUAUCUGUUCAUUUUAGCUUUACAUGCAUUUAAUAGAACCACCAGUUGGCAUGGUCUUCUGUUUGUAGCAUCCAAUAGUCCAGUGUGAUUCUAGCUUAUAGAGAAAAAGGGGUACCAUGAAACCUCUGUAAACUCAUUGUAAUUGACAUGUAAUUUGCCUUUUUUUUUCUAUUUAUUCAAACUUCCUAUACUUUUGAUUUCCUCCUUUAGCCUAGCUAGACACUAUUUUUUUGUGUGUUCCAAUUUUUUUUACAAGGGUCGUUUAUAGGAUAUAGAUGAAAACAUGAACCAAUGUAGGUGAAUAUAGAUACAUAUUAUUCCUUGAACA
Molecule: non-coding RNA, 2183 nt
Organism: Oryza sativa Japonica Group (Japanese rice)
Lineage: Eukaryota; Viridiplantae; Streptophyta; Magnoliopsida; Poales; Poaceae
Source: RefSeq, a predicted model, not a curated record